Molecule: long non-coding RNA, 456 nt
Organism: Cydia pomonella (codling moth)
Lineage: Eukaryota; Metazoa; Arthropoda; Insecta; Lepidoptera; Tortricidae
Exons: 2
Source: RefSeq, a predicted model, not a curated record
AUGUUAGUUUAGAUUCAAUUUCGACACAAUCGCUGCAUAAAGUCGCAUUUUGUAUGUCAUGUAUGUGCCCUUAGACACGAGGAUAAUAGAUAUUUCCACUAACCAGAAAAUGGUUAGACAAGUCAAGGGGCAUAUAUUAAAGCGUAGAAUCCUAUGAUACAUUAUUUUCCAAUCCCAGCAUAGCACUAACACUAUAUUUUCUCGUUUUUUCAGGUAAUUGAUCAUUCUGCAGUGACCAAGAACUUUGUGCAACUCUAACAGAGCCGAGCCAAGCAAUUUUUAUCCGUAAUCCAUUGCGAUAAAGAACGAAGCGCCGUGAAAUAUGCCGCUUCGAAAGUUUAAGCUGGCUCUCGGUUUCCAAAGGAAGCUUUAGCUUUCGAAACUCAUUCAUAAGAGAUAACACUAGACGCCGGCAUUUUUAACGUUCCAUCAUCGCAUCCAAAUCAAAUCAAUAAA